AAGUAUUUGAGAAAUACUAAGGAUCAGUGACUUGUUUAUGAAGAGUCUGACUUAAAACUUAUAGAAUUUACAGACUUCAGCUUUCAGUCAGAUCAUGAUGAUAGCAAGAGCAUGUUGAAAUAUGUAUAUACCCUGAAUGGAGGAGUAGACUGCUAGAAAAGAUUUAAAAAGCACACCAUGGCCGACUUUACUUGCGAGGCGAA
This 203-nucleotide long non-coding RNA is filed under the name Elaeis guineensis (African oil palm). Its description in RNAcentral is "long non-coding RNA (EGUI_LNC077588)". Lineage: Eukaryota; Viridiplantae; Streptophyta; Magnoliopsida; Arecales; Arecaceae. The record is from RNAcentral.